This 429-nucleotide ribosomal RNA is filed under the name Pseudomonadota bacterium. RNAcentral's name for it is "Proteobacteria bacterium partial 16S ribosomal RNA". It matches the Rfam family "Bacterial small subunit ribosomal RNA", at positions 355 to 776 of the family's 1533-position model. The record is from RNAcentral. Lineage: Bacteria; Pseudomonadati; Pseudomonadota.
UGGGGAAUAUUGGACAAUGGGCGAAAGCCUGAUCCAGCCAUGCCGCGUGUGUGAAGAAGGUCUUCGGAUUGUAAAGCACUUUAAGUUGGGAGGAAGGGCAGUAAGCGAAUACCUUGCUGUUUUGACGUUACCGACAGAAUAAGCACCGGCUAACUCUGUGCCAGCAGCCGCAGUAAUACAGAGGGUGCAAGCGUUAAUCGGAAUUACUGGGCGUAAAGCGCGCGUAGGUGGUUCGUUAAGUUGAAUGUGAAAGACCCGGGCUCAACCUGGGAACUGCAUCCAAAACUGGCGAGCUAGAGUAGGGCAGAGGGUGGUGGAAUUUCCUGUGUAGCGGUGAGAUGCGUAGAUAUAGGAAGGAAAACCAGUGGCGAAGGCGACCACCUGGGCUCAUACUGACACUGAGGUGCGAAAGCGUGGGGAGCAAACAGG